RNAcentral lists this ribosomal RNA (264 nucleotides) under uncultured bacterium. Its description in RNAcentral is "partial 16S ribosomal RNA". It matches the Rfam family "Bacterial small subunit ribosomal RNA", at positions 793 to 1055 of the family's 1533-position model. The record is from RNAcentral.
GUCCACGCCGUAAACGAUGUCUACUAGCCGUUGGGAGACUUGAUUUCUUAGUGGCGCAGCUAACGCAAUAAGUAGACCGCCUGGGGAGUACGGCCGCAAGGUUAAAACUCAAAUGAAUUGACGGGGGCCCCGCACAAGCGGUGGAGCAUGUGGUUUAAUUCGAUGCAACGCGAAGAACCUUACCAGGUCUUGACAUCCAGAGAACUUGGCAGAGAUGCCUUGGUGCCUUCGGGAGCUCUGAGACAGGUGCUGCAUGGCUGUCGU